UUACAAUCAAAUCAUAAUUAAAUAAUUUAUAAAAAAAAUAUUGUAAAUAAAUUCUUACUUAUAAUUAUUAUUAAAAAAUAUUAUAAAAAUAUAAUCAUAUUAAAAAGUACGAUGCUAAAAAAUUAUAUUACUACUUUUCUUCCAAAAAACACAAAUUUCAAUCGUGUCUAUAAUUUAAUUAAUAAAACUAAUUUUCGUUUUGGAAUUAAAUUUCCAAAGGUUACACGCGUACGCUGCGUAUUACACGAUAUACGUACAAUAUGUACACAUUGGAUUAAAUAAGAAUAACAAGUUAACGCGACAUUGAGGCAUAAUAAAUGGAAUGGAACGACUUAUUUCACGGCAUAACGAGUUCGAGCGUGGAACCGAGAGGACGUCGAUUGAUAAAUCGUCGUUUCAUCAAGCGGUCAACUAAAUACGAUAUUCUGGACACGUGCGGGUGAUCUUUGUGCCGCUCAUGGACGAGAAAGACACGAUAAAUGAUGAUUCGAUCAAUAGUUGCGUUUCCUUCGUUCCCGAUAACGAUCCUCAUCGACGUGAUGGAAAUAUAUUUGGUAAAGCAUCAUUGGAACGCAACUUUGGAAUCGAAGAUAUGGAAGGAAAGAUAUUUAAUCGCGAGAAAGAAUUUGAACGUUGCUCAUAUCUAACGAAAUUGUAAAUGUCGAAACGCGAUCUAUGAGGCAUUAAGGAAGAUAUUUUUAAUAUAGAGAUGGAAUGGAAUAUCUGGGACGCGGUUUGUUAAAUCGGAAUUUGAUUUUAAUUUGAAAGAUCGUUGAGAAGAUACGAAAAUUGAUGCGGGUCUGUAUAAAAAUUCUUAUUAAAAUUUAAAUUAAUUUUU
Molecule: long non-coding RNA, 838 nt
Organism: Apis cerana (Asiatic honeybee)
Lineage: Eukaryota; Metazoa; Arthropoda; Insecta; Hymenoptera; Apidae
Source: RefSeq, a predicted model, not a curated record